GUAGUAGCAAAUACUCUAGCGAGAACCUGGAGGACCGAAGUGGAGAAGGGUUUCGUGUGAACAGCUAUUGCACACGAGUCAGUCGAUCCUAACCCCUAGGAGAGAUCCCAUGAAUCGGGGCUUUCAGCCUGCCUGGGGGAAAGGGAAUCCGGUCCCCAUUCCGGAACCCGGUUGCGGAACCGUAUCUAAGCGGACUCCGCGUUUACGGACGCGGAGUUCGACGGGGUAACCCAAAUUGACCCGGAGAAGCCGUCGGGAGGUCGGGGAAGAGUUUUCUUUUCUGUUUGAGCGCUCGGGUUCCCUGGAAUUCUCUAGCAGAGAGAGAGGGAAUGGAGCGCGUAGAGCACCGCAGUUGCGGCGGUGUCCCGACAUGCCCCUCGGACCUUGAAAAUCCGGGUGAAGGAUACGUGGACCAGUCGCACCGGAUCGUACCCAUAUCCGCAGCAGGUCUCCAAGGUUAAAAGCCUCUGGUCGAUAGACGAAUGUGGAUAAGGGAAGUCGGCAAAUUGGAUCCGUAACUUCGGAACAAGGAU
This 533-nucleotide ribosomal RNA is filed under the name Nemobiinae sp. Com. RNAcentral's name for it is "eukaryotic LSU rRNA". It matches the Rfam family "Eukaryotic large subunit ribosomal RNA", at positions 1457 to 1948 of the family's 3401-position model. Lineage: Eukaryota; Metazoa; Arthropoda; Insecta; Orthoptera; Trigonidiidae. The record is from RNAcentral.